UUGUGGAGCGAUUUGUCUGGUAAAUUCCGAUAUAAAACGAGACUAGCCUACUAAAUAGUUCGGCGAACCCACAGAGGGGCCCGCUUCAACUUCUUGGAGGGACAGGUGGCGUUUAAGCCACACGAGAUCGAGCAAUAACA
RNAcentral lists this ribosomal RNA (140 nucleotides) under uncultured eukaryote. RNAcentral describes it as "partial 18S ribosomal RNA". It matches the Rfam family "Eukaryotic small subunit ribosomal RNA", at positions 1299 to 1458 of the family's 1831-position model. The record is from RNAcentral.